This 253-nucleotide ribosomal RNA is filed under the name uncultured bacterium. RNAcentral's name for it is "partial 16S ribosomal RNA". It matches the Rfam family "Bacterial small subunit ribosomal RNA", at positions 524 to 776 of the family's 1533-position model. The record is from RNAcentral.
UACAGAGGGUGCGAGCGUUAAUCGGAAUUACUGGGCGUAAAGCGCGCGUAGGCGGCUUUGCAAGUCGGGUGUGAAAUCCCCAGGCUUAACCUGGGAACUGCAUUCGAGACUGCAUUGCUAGAGUAUGGGAGAGGGAAGUGGAAUUUCCGGUGUAGCGGUGAAAUGCGUAGAUAUCGGAAGGAACAUCAGUGGCGAAAGCGGCGCUCUGGGCCUAAACUGACGCUGAGGGGCGAAAGCGUGGGGAGCGAACGGG